CGGGGUGAGUAAUGUAUGGGGAUCUGCCUGAUGGGGGGGGAGUAACUACUGGAAACGGUAGCUAAUACCGCAUAAUGUCUACGGACCAAAGCGGGGGACCUCCGGGCCUCGCGCCAUCAGAUGAACCCAUAUGGGAUUAGCUUGUAGGUAGGGUAACGGCUUACCUAGGCGACGAUCCCUAGCUGGUCUGAGAGGAUGAUCAGCCACACUGGGACUGAGACACGGCCCAG
This 230-nucleotide ribosomal RNA is filed under the name uncultured bacterium. RNAcentral describes it as "partial 16S ribosomal RNA". It matches the Rfam family "Bacterial small subunit ribosomal RNA", at positions 104 to 334 of the family's 1533-position model. The record is from RNAcentral.